Lontra canadensis (Northern American river otter) is the source of this 256-nucleotide long non-coding RNA. RefSeq lists it as uncharacterized. The record is from RefSeq and is a predicted model, not a curated record. The transcript is spliced from 3 exons. Lineage: Eukaryota; Metazoa; Chordata; Mammalia; Carnivora; Mustelidae.
UGAAUAUUUCUUGGAUGAGCUUUGAAGAAAAAUAAUUCGGCAGACCAGAAACUAACAGAAAGAGCAUAAAGAGAGGAGGGGCAGAAAUUAUGCUGUCUUGAAGACAUAAAGGCAGAACCUAUCAAGAAAAAGGUAAGAGAAGCUGUAUGGAGGAGAGAGGAAGUAUUUGCCAAGUUUGGUGCAAAAGAAUCCUUUGGAAAACAGGAAACGUAAACCUUGGUGAAAGCAACAUGACACAAGAAAAUCUAAUUGAGGC